Molecule: ribosomal RNA, 838 nt
Filed under: Rachicladosporium monterosium
Lineage: Eukaryota; Fungi; Ascomycota; Dothideomycetes; Cladosporiales; Cladosporiaceae
Description: LSU rRNA
Rfam family: Eukaryotic large subunit ribosomal RNA
Source: RNAcentral
UGCCCUAGUAACGGCGAGUGAAGCGGCAAAAGCUCAAAUUUGAAAUCUGGCGCCUUCGGCGUCCGAGUUGUAAUUUGUAGAGGAUGAUUCUGGGCAGCCACCGGUCUAAGUUCCUUGGAACAGGACGUCAUAGAGGGUGAGAAUCCCGUAUGCGACCGGAAGGGCACCCUACACGUAUCUCCUUCGACGAGUCGAGUUGUUUGGGAAUGCAGCUCUAAAUGGGAGGUAAAUUUCUUCUAAAGCUAAAUACCGGCCAGAGACCGAUAGCGCACAAGUAGAGUGAUCGAAAGAUGAAAAGCACUUUGGAAAGAGAGUUAAAAAGCACGUGAAAUUGUUGAAAGGGAAGCGCUUGCAACCAGACUUGCUCGCGGUGUUCCGCCGGUCAUACGGCCGGUUCACUCGCCGCGUUGCAGGCCAGCAUCGUCUGGGGCCGUCGGAUAAGACUCUGGGAAUGUAGCUCCCCUCGGGGAGUGUUAUAGCCCACUGUGAUGCGACGCGUCCCGGGCGAGGUCCGCGCUUCGGCUAGGAUGCUGGCGUAAUGGUUGUAAGCGGCCCGUCUUGAAACACGGACCAAGGAGUCUAACAUCUAUGCGAGUGUUCGGGUGUCAAACCCCUACGCGUAAUGAAAGUGAACGGAGGUGGGAACUUUAUUGUGCACCAUCGACCGAUCCUGAUGUCUUCGGAUGGAUUUGAGUAAGAGCAUAGCUGUUGGGACCCGAAAGAUGGUGAACUAUGCCUGAAUAGGGUGAAGCCAGAGGAAACUCUGGUGGAGGCUCGCAGCGGUUCUGACGUGCAAAUCGAUCGUCAAAUUUGGGUAUAGGGGCGAAAGACUAAUCGA